Molecule: ribosomal RNA, 523 nt
Filed under: uncultured haloarchaeon
Lineage: Archaea; Methanobacteriati; Methanobacteriota; Halobacteria; Halobacteriales; Halobacteriaceae
Description: bacterial SSU rRNA
Rfam family: Archaeal small subunit ribosomal RNA
Source: RNAcentral
AUUCCGGUUGAUCCUGCCGGAGGACAUUGCUAUUGGGAUUCGAUUUAGCCAUGCUAGUCGAGCGAGUUUAGACUCGCGGCGAAUAGCUCAGUAACACGUGGCCAAGCUCCCCUUCAGUCAGCGAUACCCUCGGGAAACUGAGGUUAACAGCUGAUACAAAACGCCAGCUGGAAUGCGGCGUUUCAGAAAGACAUCGCUGAAGGAUGCGGCUGCGGCCGAUUAGGUAGACGGUGGGGUAACGGCCCACCGUGCCAGUAAUCGGUACGGGUGAUGAGAGUCAGAGCCCGGAGACGGAAUCUGAGACAAGAUUCCGGGCCCUACGGGGCGCAGCAGGCGCGAAACCUUUACACUGCACGGAAGUGCGAUAGGGGAAUCCCAAGUGCGAGGGCAUAUUAGCCCUCGCUUUUCUCGACUGUAAGGUGGUCGACGAAUAAGAGCUGGGCAAGACCGGUGCCAGCCGCCGCGGUAAUACCGGCAGCUCAAGUGAUGUCCCAUAUUAUUGGGCCUAAAGCGUCCGUAGCUG